UACGUAGGGUGCGAGCGUUGUCCGGAAUUACUGGGCGUAAAGAGUUCGUAGGCGGUUUGUCGCGUCGUUCGUGAAAACUUGGGGCUUAACUCCAAGCGUGCGGGCGAAACGGGCAGACUUGAGUACUACAGGGGAGACUGGAAUUCCUGGUGUAGCGGUGAAAUGCGCAGAUAUCGGGAAGAACACCCGUGGCGAAGGCGGUUCUCUGGGACGGUACUGACGCUGAGACGCGAAAGCGUGGGGAGCGAACAGG
RNAcentral lists this ribosomal RNA (253 nucleotides) under uncultured bacterium. Its description in RNAcentral is "partial 16S ribosomal RNA". It matches the Rfam family "Bacterial small subunit ribosomal RNA", at positions 524 to 776 of the family's 1533-position model. The record is from RNAcentral.